RNAcentral lists this ribosomal RNA (497 nucleotides) under uncultured bacterium. RNAcentral's name for it is "partial 16S ribosomal RNA". It matches the Rfam family "Bacterial small subunit ribosomal RNA", at positions 28 to 507 of the family's 1533-position model. The record is from RNAcentral.
GAUGAACGCUGGCGGCGUGCCUAAUACAUGCAAGUCGAGCGAACAGACGAGGAGCUUGCUCCUCUGACGUUAGCGGCGGACGGGUUAGUAACACGUGGAUAACCUACCUAUAAGACUGGGAUAACUUCGGGAAACCGGAGCUAAUACCGGAUAAUAUAUUGAACCGCAUGGUUCAAUAGUGAAAGACGGUUUUGCUGUCACUUAUAGAUGGAUCCGCGCCGCAUUAGCUAGUUGGUAAGGUAACGGCUUACCAAGGCAACGAUGCGUAGCCGACCUGAGAGGGUGAUCGGCCACACUGGAACUGAGACACGGUCCAGACUCCUACGGGAGGCAGCAGUAGGGAAUCUUCCGCAAUGGGCGAAAGCCUGACGGAGCAACGCCGCGUGAGUGAUGAAGGUCUUCGGAUCGUAAAACUCUGUUAUUAGGGAAGAACAAAUGUGUAAGUAACUAUGCACGUCUUGACGGUACCUAAUCAGAAAGCCACGGCCAACUACGUG